UACAGAGGUCUCAAGCGUUGUUCGGAUUCAUUGGGCGUAAAGGGUGCGUAGGUGGCGUCGUAAGUCAGGUGUGAAAUUUCGGAGCUUAACUCCGAAACUGCAUUUGAUACUGCGGUGCUUGAGGACUGGAGAGGAGACUGGAAUUUACGGUGUAGCAGUGAAAUGCGUAGAGAUCGUAAGGAAGAACAGUGGCGAAGGCGGGUCUCUGGACAGUUCCUGACACUGAGGCGCGAAAGCUGGGGGAGCAAACGGG
RNAcentral lists this ribosomal RNA (253 nucleotides) under uncultured bacterium. RNAcentral describes it as "partial 16S ribosomal RNA". It matches the Rfam family "Bacterial small subunit ribosomal RNA", at positions 524 to 776 of the family's 1533-position model. The record is from RNAcentral.